Molecule: non-coding RNA, 77 nt
Organism: Potamilus streckersoni
Lineage: Eukaryota; Metazoa; Mollusca; Bivalvia; Unionida; Unionidae
Source: the annotation of a GenBank genome assembly
GACCACUCUGGUGGCUUAGUAGUUAGAGGGUCUGCCUUGGAUGCUGGAGGUCAUGGUUUCCAACCCCAGUCAAGUCA